UUUAGGCUGAAUAUAAAAGAAAACUGUAAACAAUGCUAUAAUUCACCGCUCUAUAAACAGGUGCAACUUUAAAGCAUAAAAUAUGACAAGCUACCCUAUCAAAAGGGCUUGGCUGACCUGGUGAAGGAAAACGUUGCUUGACAGCUUCUGUCAAAGGGACAGUUGAAGCUGUCAUGAAAACCAGGGGCUCCAACAAGACAUUGAAGUAGUAACCUGAGCAUUCAUGAAUGCAGAGUCUUGAUGAGUAGAAGGUAAAUGCUGGUGUCCCACUGAGGGUUCGAGUCCACUUUCUGAAGUCAGAGGAAAGAAAGGAUAACAUGAGCUGGCAGAUCUAGGAUCCACAGGCAGAUUUAUUUGCUGUCUACAAACGCCGUUUUGUGUUGAGUUCUCAGCCACAUUUCCCAAAGGCCAUCAUUCAGGCAUUGCAUGCAAAUGGACCAAUUCUGUGCAGCUGAUGCAAGUGACCCUGUUGUGGAGGACCAUGGUGAUUGUCUGAGAAAAGACUGAUCGACUGGACCACAACUAAAUUGGAAGAUAGGAAGACUUAACCAAAUGUCCCUGGAGAUAAAAUAUUUGCCUACUUCAAACGUGAGUAAUGGAACAACGAUUGUCAUCCAACUGAUUGCCAUCGUUAUGUGCGUUCGCCUUUGC
Molecule: long non-coding RNA, 651 nt
Organism: Alligator mississippiensis (American alligator)
Lineage: Eukaryota; Metazoa; Chordata; Crocodylia; Alligatoridae
Exons: 3
Source: RefSeq, a predicted model, not a curated record